Molecule: ribosomal RNA, 449 nt
Filed under: uncultured bacterium
Lineage: Bacteria
Description: partial 16S ribosomal RNA
Rfam family: Bacterial small subunit ribosomal RNA
Source: RNAcentral
AACGAACGCUGGCGGCAGGCCUAACACAUGCAAGUCGAGCGAGGACUUCGGCCCUAGCGGCGGACGGGUGAGUAACGCGUGGGAACGUGCCCCUUGGUACGGUAUAGCCCCGGGAAACUGGGAGUAAUACCGUAUGAGCUCUACGGAGGAAAGAUUUAUCGCCAAGGGAUCGGCCCGCGUUGGAUUAGGUAGUUGGUGGGGUAAUGGCCUACCAAGCCGACGAUCCAUAGCUGGUUUGAGAGGAUGAUCAGCCACACUGGGACUGAGACACGGCCCAGACUCCUACGGGAGGCAGCAGUGGGGAAUCUUAGACAAUGGGCGCAAACCUGAUCUAGCCAUGCCGCGUGAGCGAUGAAGGCCUUAGGGUUGUAAAGCUCUUUCAGCUGGGAAGAUAAUGACUGUACCAGCAGAAGAAGCCCCGGCUAACUCCGUGCCAGCCGCCGCCGUAA